Molecule: unclassified non-coding RNA, 341 nt
Filed under: soil metagenome
Description: partial contains 5.8S ribosomal RNA, internal transcribed spacer 2, and large subunit ribosomal RNA
Rfam family: 5.8S ribosomal RNA (bases 1-120)
Source: RNAcentral
GAUGAAGAACGUAGCGAAAUGCGAUAAGUAGUGUGAAUUGCAGAAUUCAGUGAAUCAUCGAAUCUUUGAACGCACAUUGCGCCCUUUGGUAUUCCAAAGGGCAUGCCUGUUCGAGCGUCAUUUGUACCCCCAAGCUUUGCUUGGUGUUGGGCGUCUUGUCUCUAGCUUUGCUGGAGACUCGCCUUAAAGUAAUUGGCAGCCGGCCUACUGGUUUCGGAGCGCAGCACAAGUCGCACUCUCUAUCAGCAAAGGUCUAGCAUCCAUUAAGCCUUUUUUUCAACUUUUGACCUCGGAUCAGGUAGGGAUACCCGCUGAACUUAAGCAUAUCAAUAAGCGGAGGA